Molecule: non-coding RNA, 270 nt
Organism: Podarcis lilfordi (Lilford's wall lizard)
Lineage: Eukaryota; Metazoa; Chordata; Lepidosauria; Squamata; Lacertidae
Source: the annotation of a GenBank genome assembly
GUCCAGUCGUGGCCGACUCUGGGGUUGCGGCACUCAUCUCGCUUUACUGGCCGAGGGAGCCGGCGUACAGCUUCCGGGUCAUGCGGCCAGCAUGACUAAGCCGCUUCUGGCGAACCAGAGCAGCGCACGGAAACGCUGUUUACCUUCCCGCUGGAGCGGUACCUAUUUAUCUACUUGCACUUUGACGUGCUUUCAAACUGCUAGGUUGGCAGGAGCAGGGACCGAGCAACGGGAGCUCACCCCGUCAUUGCGGGGAUUCGAACCACCGAC